Molecule: ribosomal RNA, 509 nt
Filed under: uncultured marine bacterium
Lineage: Bacteria
Description: bacterial SSU rRNA
Rfam family: Bacterial small subunit ribosomal RNA
Source: RNAcentral
GCUGGCGGCGUGCCUAAUACAUGCAAGUCGAGCGGAUCGAUGGGAGCUUGCUCCCUGAGAUCAGCGGCGGACGGGUGAGUAACACGUGGGUAACCUGCCUGUAAGACUGGGAUAACUCCGGGAAACCGGGGCUAAUACCGGAUAACACCUACCCCCGCAUGGGGGAAGGUUGAAAGGUGGCUUCGGCUAUCACUUACAGAUGGACCCGCGGCGCAUUAGCUAGUUGGUGAGGUAAUGGCUCACCAAGGCGACGAUGCGUAGCCGACCUGAGAGGGUGAUCGGCCACACUGGGACUGAGACACGGCCCAGACUCCUACGGGAGGCAGCAGUAGGGAAUCUUCCGCAAUGGACGAAAGUCUGACGGAGCAACGCCGCGUGAGUGAAGAAGGUUUUCGGAUCGUAAAACUCUGUUGUUAGGGAAGAACAAGUGCCGUUCGAAUAGGGCGGCGCCUUGACGGUACCUAACCAGAAAGCCACGGCUAACUACGUGCCAGCAGCCGCGGUAAUAC